GCUCCACCGAAAGAAAAAGAGUGGCGAACGGGUGAGUAACACGUGGGUAACCUGCCCAUCAGAAGGGGAUAACACUUGGAAACAGGUGCUAAUACCGUAUAACACUAUUUUCCGCAUGGAAGAAAGUUGAAAGGCGCUUUUGCGUCACUGAUGGAUGGACCCGCGGUGCAUUAGCUAGUUGGUGAGGUAACGGCUCACCAAGGCAACGAUGCAUAGCCGACCUGAGAGGGUGAUCGGCCACACUGGGACUGAGACACGGCCCAGACUCCUACGGGAGGCAGCAGUAGGGAAUCUUCGGCAAUGGACGAAAGUCUGACCGAGCAACGCCGCGUGAGUGAAGAAGGUUUUCGGAUCGUAAAACUCUGUUGUUAGAGAAGAACAAGGAUGAGAGUARAACGUUCAUCCCUUGACGGUAUCUAACCAGAAAGCCACGGCUAACUACGUGCCAGCAGCCGCGGUAAUACGUAGGUGGCAAGCGUUGUCCGGAUUUAUUGGGCGUAAAGCGAGCGCAGGCGGUUUCUUAAGUCUGAUGUGAAAGCCCCCGGCUCAACCGGGGAGGGUCAUUGGAAACUGGGAGACUUGAGUGCAGAAGAGGAGAGUGGAAUUCCAUGUGUAGCGGUGAAAUGCGUAGAUAUAUGGAGGAACACCAGUGGCGAAGGCGGCUCUCUGGUCUGUAACUGACGCUGAGGCUCGAAAGCGUGGGGAGCGAACAGGAUUAGAUACCCUGGUAGUCCACGCCGUAAACGAUGAGUGCUAAGUGUUGGAGGGUUUCCGCCCUU
This 779-nucleotide ribosomal RNA is filed under the name Enterococcus casseliflavus. RNAcentral's name for it is "bacterial SSU rRNA". It matches the Rfam family "Bacterial small subunit ribosomal RNA", at positions 75 to 840 of the family's 1533-position model. Lineage: Bacteria; Bacillati; Bacillota; Bacilli; Lactobacillales; Enterococcaceae. The record is from RNAcentral.